Camellia sinensis is the source of this 968-nucleotide non-coding RNA. The record is from RefSeq and is a predicted model, not a curated record. NCBI's taxonomy places the organism in Eukaryota, Viridiplantae, Streptophyta, Magnoliopsida, Ericales, Theaceae.
GAGAGCAAGAGAGGUACUAAUGUGCUGGAAUUUCCCUUUGGAUGGCAUGUGGCAACAUCAUGAUAGGACAUAGUCAAGAUGGGUAGUGUCCCUUGGUCAUAUGGACAAUCAAUAUUCAAAAUGGUAAAAGAACUGUGCCAGGGAGUCUAUGGCUUUCAACUGAAGUUCUCAAAUCUGGACCAUCCUUUCUUCCAUUGGCUAAGGUGUCACCUAUUGGAUUAAUUGCAUGGAAAAUGUCAUUUAUGUACCCAUAAGAUCACAGCCAUGAUCACUACUCACAACAUGAAUCAAGUGCUUAUAAUUUAUAGCUAUGUACGAAUUUAGGUAAUUUAUGAGAUUGGGUAAUUUUAGUUUUCCUCUGCAUUAGUUGAUCAAUAGAAAUUCAGUGAUUAACAUCAAGAGAAUGGCCAUGUUUACGAUGUAGAAUGUAUGGCAAAAAAUUGGUAUGCUGCAAAAGAAGGAACAUAGCAGAGAAUGAUGUUGAAGCAAGUUUGAACGAUUCUGAACCUGAACUUGUCACCAAACGCAGAGUUCUUCGAUCUCGAUAUCUCGCUGUUCAGACCCUAAUUUCUGAUGAGAGAGAUGAUUUAUCAAGGGUUGAUUCGGACAAGUUCAAUUCGAUUAUCAAUGAACGAUUCUGGUAAUUAACUUUCCUCUUGACAAUAUUGCUUUCUUUAAUUUGGUUUUUAGUAUAGAAACCUAGAGAACAAGCUGCAGAUGCUGAAGCUCUGUUGAACAUCACAAACACGUUGGUUACAUCUGUUAAAGCACACAGUCAAGAAGGAAUUACCCCUUUUAGACUUUGUAAACUGUCUGCUCAGAGAUUUCGGGUGACAAGGUCGGGCAAGUACCAGCGCAGAGGAUGGUCUUGAGGAUGGCAAUAUCCCAUUUGGUUCAGUGGAAGCUAGUGGCCGGUCAACGGUGAACCUUGAAAGAUCUUUAGAUCAUGAUGGUGACCCGCUUGCCAU